AUGGCGGCGCGGGGGUGCAGCGGGGUCUGGCGCUGGGCGCGGCAGCGCGGCGCGGGGCGGCUCGGGCCCGGGCCCGGGCCUUUCCCCCGCGGGCAGAGGGCUGUCGCCUGUAACGCGAAAGGCGGGGCGGUGCCGGCGGGGAAGAGCGGCCUUGCUCCAUGGAUACCAGUUGUGGGUCUGGAAAUUCAUGCACAGAUCAGUUCCAACUCAAAACUCUUCUCUGGUUCCCAAGUCCAGUUUGCAGCACCUCCCAACUCUUUGGUAUCUUUCUUUGAUGCUUCUUUACCAGGGACUUUACCAGUUCUCAACAGGAGAUGUGUAGAAGCAGCAGUGAUGACAGGCCUGGCUCUCAACUGCAGCAUAAACAAGAAGUCCUUGUUUGACAGAAAGCACUACUUCUAUGCAGAUCUGCCUGCUGGCUAUCAAAUCACUCAGCAAAGAGUUCCUAUUGCAGUAAAUGGAAGUCUCUCAUACAGUCUCUGCAUAGACAACAAGAUGAGCCAGAUGGUGACCAAAACUGUGAGGAUUAAACAAAUUCAGUUGGAGCAAGACAGUGGAAAAAGUCUCCAUGAUGACACAAGGAGUCAAACACUUGUGGACUUGAACAGGGCUGGAGUCGGUCUCAUGGAGGUUGUCAUGGAGCCUGAUAUGUGCUGUGGGGAAGAAGCAGCUGCAGCAGUCAGAGAGCUUCAGCUCAUUCUGCAAACACUUGGGAGCAGCCAAGCAGUCAUGGCAGAGGGUCAGCUGAGAGUGGAUGCCAAUGUUUCUGUGCAUCACCCUGGAGAGCCUUACGGAGUGAGGACUGAAGUGAAGAAUAUCAAUAGCAUACGAUUUCUGGCAAAAGCAGUAGACUAUGAAAUACAGAGGCAAAUUGAAGAACUUGAAAAUGGAGGGACAAUUUUGAAUGAAACAAGAGCCUUUGAUUCCAAGCUUGGGUGCACGGUACCAAUGAGAGACAAAGAAGGAAAACAGGAUUACCGGUUCAUGCCAGAGCCAAACCUUCCCCCAUUGAUUCUGUACGAUGCAAAAUCUUUGCCAGCUAAUAUGAACCAUCAGCAAGUGAUAAAUAUUGAUUGGAUUCAUGAGAGACUGCCUGACCUCCCCAGUGUGAAGAGAGAAAAGCUUGUUGAACAGUAUGGGAUUCUUCCUGAACACAGCUUCACCUUAUUGAAUGAAGAUGGACUAGCAGAAUUCUUUGAAAGUGUGGUAAAACAGACCCAGAUGAAGCCAAAGAAGGUGAUUGGCUGGAUUCUAAAUGACCUGCUUAGUUACUUGAAACAACAUUCCCUUACAGUAAAGGAAAGCCCAGUCAGUUCUUCUCUCCUGGCUGACCUCUUGAACCUUCUAGAAAAAAAAGAAAUUUCUUCUACAGCAGCAAAGCGGGUGCUUGCGGAAUUGUGGAAGGGAGAAGGGAAGACUCCCCUUGAAAUUGUUAAAGAACAGAAACUUGAACUGUUACAGGAUCAAAAAGAGCUUGAACAGAUCUGUCAGGCAGUGAUUGAUGGACAAGAAAAUGAGGUUAUGGCAAUAAAGACAGGAAAUCGAAAAGUUCUAAAUAAGUUAAUUGGUCUGGUACAAAGGAAAACACAAGGACGGUCCAAUCCUGUUCUGGUGAAGCAGUUAUUAGAGAAGAAGCUAUCAGAGUAGCCACAAGAGAAAAAGCACACAAAGAAGCAUGAAGCACAUAAAGAAACAUGUGCUUCGUUCUGUCUGCAAAUGAACUUCAGCGUCUCCUUGUGCAGCAUCGUGCUUGUUGGUUAUACUUCAAGCAGCUUGAAGUCCCAGUCUUCCCUGAAUACAUCAGCCAAAGGCAGAUGGGCCAGAGAAAAGCAGGAUACAGCCAUUUGCAUCUCCCACGCUUUGAUGUGGCACUAGGAAAUGUGAUUUCCACACAGCCCUGGGAAACAAGCUCCCAGAGGUGUCUGCAAGAACUUGGCCCCGUGUUACGAAUGCCCAAGGCCCAGGGCUUCUGCUUCUCUGGAAAUUUACCAAUCUUACUAAAAAUACCAAAUCACACCUGAAAGUGCUCUGUACCGCAGCAUGACAUCACUGAAUUCAGACUUUUUGCGAACUGACAAAGCCCAAAGAAAGAGGAAACAAGUAAUUUAUGAACUGGAUGCUUGGAAGCAUGUACCUGGGCCUGCUGGUGGGAGGGACAGUCCAUGUCUGAUACUGGAAUUUUCUCAUCUCCACAGAAUACAUCUGAAAACAGAAAUUCUCAUUUCUGUUCUUCCAAACCAAGGUCAGAAGUUACCAGGACAAAAAAAGACGAUGCAUUUUUCACAUCCAGAACUGCAACGCUAACAACUUGAUCUCAUUCAAAAUACCAUAAUAUUCUUUAGGGCACACAUGGAAAAGAUCAAAUUUAAGAAAAAUGCCUAGAAUACAAUAAUUAAAGUAGUAAGCACAGCCAGCAACACAAGGGACUGCACCUGACUACACAUGUCCAAAGAUCCAGUGUGUUGGUGCACAAGCAUCAAUGAAACUGCUGAGUGCUUCAGUCCAAUUAACACAAACCAUGUGUAUGUUUACUGAGACUAACCCAGAAAGCAUCCAAAAAUGGCCAAAGGUAAAAGAGAAUGACUACAAAUCUUUUAAGACAAAGUGCUCACUUUAUAGGUAUGUUGCAAAAACAAAAUAAACAAAAACCAAACCAAACACACGCACACACACAAAAAACCCCAAGUUUAAAAUGUUGGAAAGAUUCCUUGCUAUAGCAGAACAGCUUAUAAACACACUCCAAGGCUACAUAAUUGGAAAUGUGGCAUUCACAGUUUGAAACAUCUAGUAGGAGGCUGGAAAUUCACUUUGGUAUCACUGAGCCACCACCUGCAGUCUUUGGAAGAGAUCUGCCAAGGCACUUCAUCUGGGACUGAUGCUGAGCCAAUGUACCAAUGAAGGACUGCUCCAGUCACACACCCACCCGAGUGUGGGGAAAACCAGAUCAUAAAGCACUUCCUUGUUCUUGGUAAGAGCAGCAUAAUGCGGUUAUCCUCCAGGGACCUAUAGGCAGGACCACAGCUUGGACCACAGGCACAGGGUUUUUUGGGAAAGGAUGUGUCAUUGGUGAGAGACAGGAUAACACAUUAUCUAACUAGAGGGAAGAAGCUUAUUAGAGAAGCAUUUGGCUGAAGAGCUUAUGCACACAGAUGUGAUUCAUCUGAAAAGAUCAACAUUUUCAAGCUAAAUCACAGGUUCUGCAUUUUGAAGGCAGGAAGAGGCAAUUCCCAUCAAUAGUUUUUUGUGCUGGCUGCCAGACAUUAUACUGCUAUUACAGCUGAGACACAGCUGCAAAUCUGAUCCCACUCAGAAACCAAGCAGUGUAAAGGUACAUGUAUGAUCUGCAUUUUUACAUUCUAAGCCAGGGUCACUGCAUUCAUCCACCUCUUCCUUUUGGGGAGCUGACAGACAUUUACUGUUUGUGAGGGGACACUGAGCACAAACACAGCUCUGACCUUUCAGCAAGAAGCCUUCCGCACAACUCCAGAUUUCAAAGGCUGACUUUAUCCUACUGGAUGUAGACCAUAAGCUGUACCAAAACUUAUGAGGAAAAUCCUCUCCUUCCUCAAAUUUACAGAUGAUUUUAUGAGCAGUCCACAUUUUGAAAUCCUCAUGUAGCUUAACAGACCUGCCAAAAUGAAACUGCAGUGAUUUUGUACGUUUUUUUGAAAACACCAGUUAACAAUCUCAAAAGGAAUCCUUUCUACCCAGCAAAUAAGGAUUCUUAGUUUAGAAUACAAAGAAAAGAAAGGAGUGUUCAGGUAGUAAUUUUCUGCCUUGAGCACUGGUCUGCAGAGUUCUUUAUUUUUAAAAAAGUGAAAUAAUAUAAUUCCUUUCUAAACAUUCCUCAAAAAAGAAAAAAAAAAGGAUUAGAUUGGUUCUGCAUUUUAGCACUAGUUUCUGAACCACUAAAAGUCAGCUGAUCAAACUUUCCUUUUGCUCACAUGCAGUUCUUGCAGAAGAGGUGAGAAGCAGAGCAAGCACUGACCCUACAACCAUAAUGCUAAAACCUUUAUAACGCACACACACUGAAUCCCCUCAGGCCAGGCCUAUGAGCACAGCAUGGAAGGCAGCAGAAAUGGGAGAGGUGGGAAUGACCCAGGGUGCUGUAGGACAAGUUUAAAAAAGAAAAUUUUUUAAAAAAUAAAUCACUCCAUCUCAUUACCCAUUUACAACAACAAUGCAGGGGUGGGUGAAACUGAAGAAAGAAAGAGCUCUCUUCAACCUGGACAACUAAUACUUAAGGAAAAACCCCACGACUUUGGCUUCAGCUUCCAAGAAAACUGGUGAGGUGAGAUAGGGCCAUGUGGAGGUCAGUAGGUGAUUUACACAAUGUGUCAAUGAUUUACACAGUGAUGCAGUGGCACCUGACAAACUAAACAGGUCACAAAUGUAAGCAAGCCAGAGAGUCAGCUAGAAAGCAACAGGGUGCCCAGCCAUCAUGGAAGUGAAGACUGUGCAGUAAACAAAUAAAGAUGGACCCAGAGAAGUUCUGGAGGUGAUUUUGUUGAAGGUAGACUUGGGGAUUUUUAUUUUUUUUUCUUGGAACAGCCUACAGCAAGCUGACACAAUGAAUGCAGACACUCCGAUCUAUACCUUGUAGAUUAAACGCAGAACUUUUCAGAACUAUCUAAAGGAUUUAGGAGCUUAAACUGCACUGCACAUUCCAGAAGAAUUUGACGUGCAAUUAAUUAGACUGUUCUGGAGUGUCUUUGGUUUUUAUUUUUAAACUGUUUUUUUCCUUGAAAUCUCUGAGAAAGUGUGUUUCAAAUUCAGGAUGUAACAAACCAGAUUUCUACAUUAUGGAAUUACAAUGAGCAGGAGAACUAA
Molecule: RNA transcript, 4830 nt
Organism: Parus major (Great Tit)
Lineage: Eukaryota; Metazoa; Chordata; Aves; Passeriformes; Paridae
Gene: GATB
Gene name: glutamyl-tRNA amidotransferase subunit B
Exons: 15
Source: RefSeq, a predicted model, not a curated record